Long non-coding RNA from Rosa rugosa (rugosa rose), 678 nucleotides. RefSeq lists it as uncharacterized. Lineage: Eukaryota; Viridiplantae; Streptophyta; Magnoliopsida; Rosales; Rosaceae. The transcript is spliced from 2 exons. The record is from RefSeq and is a predicted model, not a curated record.
AUGAAGUGUAACUUAUUCUGGAAUGAAAUGAUAUUCCAAGGUGAAGGUCCUGACUGGCAAGACUUUGUUGGGAUUAUUGUCCUAUUAAUAAUCAAUUCAACCAUUAGUUUUGUAGAGGAGAAUAAUGCGGGAAAUGCUGCAUCAGCUCUUAUGGAACGUUUAUCUCCAAAGACAAGGAUGAGUUAAAUGCCUCACUAAGCUGCACAUGAGUUAAAUGCAGACGAGUAGACCACCUACCAGAUUUGCAGCAAAGGUUUUUGUUCUUUUUUCUGCAAUAUCUUGUUCCUCAUUGAGAAUGAAGACUAGUUGCUCUUGUAAUAUGCAGCAUAAGUCUAUAUGGGGGUCAAGAAAGAUUUGUGUCUCUGCAAUGGGUCAGCAGGUUUGUGUCUCUGCAAGCUCACUGGCCAUUCCGUUUUCUAUGACCACUUCUAUGAUUUGGGUGAUUCCGUUCAUGAUCAGAUUGUGAAACUAGUACAGCAGUAUAGCUAGCUAGUUCCUUUAUUAACUUGUGUCUAGUAGAAAUUUUUCAUUCAUUAAGCAUUUAGACUUGUCUUCAGAUCCAGAUUAGUAUAUAUGAGUUAUUUUGAACUGAAGUUCAUGAUUAAGUUUGUGUACAUGAGAUACUAGUGGAUUAAUGGAAAUUGCAAUGAAUGAUUUUGAAUGUGGAUUUUAUGGUUU